AUGCAUUCAGAAAAAUAGGGAGAUGAUGAAUAAUGGAGAAUGAAGUGGUUGGUUACGUGAAAGAGGUAAGGCCAUGUGCUUUCAUUCAGCACUGCUGUGAUGACAUGGAAACCACUCAUGAAGAAUCAAUUGGAAAGUGAUGUCAAAAUUCUGAAACAUCACGUGCACGUGGAAAAGCAUUUGUAAAGUGAUACCAAAAUUCUAAAACCACUACACGUGAAAGUGGAAAGAUGGCAUGGAGAAUAAUAUGGUGCUAUGAUGGCAUGCUUUCUGAAGUAGCGAGGACCACUCAAGCCAUAUAUGCAAAUAACUCACGGCCUUGGCUCACAUAAAGGGUGAAGUUGUUUCUCACGGAUUGGAAAAUAAGUUAAGUCAGCAAAGCUACUGAAACACACUUUCAUUUCAAUUUACUGAAACAUAGCUCCAUAUUCACGGCCAACUCUUUGAUGGGAAGUGGGAACCACACACAUGGAAGUCACGGAUUCUUUGAAGCAGCUCACGGAUAUCCAUUCUUCACGAGCUCCACACCGUCCAGAAGCAUCCAAGAUACAACAAAGAUUUCCAUUGAGCUGGUAGAAAAGUAGACAGCAUCAAGGAAAGUAAGAGUCAAAUACGUUGGAUGAUUGAAGUUUGUAGUUGAUUCACACGGCUGCACAUAGUGUGGAGGGUCCUUCUUGUUCUUGUUUGGAUUGAAGAAGGUUGGAAGAAGUUGGGCACACCAGACAAUAAUCAUUUGAAGUGAAGAGUAAAUAUAGCAAAGAGGGGAUGAUCCAGAGAGGAGAAUACGUAUGGAGACAAAUUUAUGGAGGACCCCUCAUUGAAAUGGUAAGUGGUAUGCACACAUCAGAACACGAGAAGGCCGUGAGCUGAGGAUGAUAAAAGGAAAGAUAUGGUGUCAGAAACACUAGUAGACAGUAGAGAGCGAAUAGUGUAGGAGUAGAGUAGGAAGUUCUCUGGUUUUCAUUUUUCCCCCUCCCCCUUGGGGAGGUUUUGGGUUGUUGUUCUUUUCCAGUACUGCUUUCUAAAGAAAUGGUGAUUGUAAUUUUUAUUUCUUUGUUAUAAUGAACUUUCGGUGAUUGUAAUUUUUAUUUCUUUGUUAUAAUGAACUUUCAAUUUAAUUUCCAGUCCGAUUCCAAUUCUGAUGAACUUUCCAGACAAAUUGAUCCUUGAGAGACGACCUAGGAGUCAAAUCCUAGUAGACUGUACUGCAUUUCUAAUAUCUGCAAUCAACUUUUGAUGGGCCGCGACAGCUUUAAUCACUGAACGUCUAGGAUCUCUGCGAAGCCUCUGCCCCGGUGCCAUCUGAAGAGUCUGAGAACCCAGAGGAGCUUCUCUGCCAGCCUACUACUCCAGAAUAUACUGAGAGAAAUGAUGAGUGAGAUAGAAUCAGAGAGAUACACCAGUCAGCGGUGGCGUCCAACCGAAAAUCAGACCCAGAUGAUGACCAGAAUCUACAACUUUGGGGUCACACACCCAAGCAGAGCGCAAGUUGUCGAGAUCACGUCUCGACUAAGGAUCUUCGGAGAUGCCAGCGAAUACAACGUGCACUGCUGGUUCAACAACCACGGCAAUCGGGUCAGGCGCUGGCAAGCGGAGAUAGACCCCACUGGCACUCAGUUUUCACAACUGCCGCUAUAUAUGUAUGAAUACGACUGGGUGAUAAUGAGGGCACCGAGGCUGUUGGACCUCUUCCCCAUUCCCAUCAUAAUCGACGACGACAAAGAUGAACGGCAAAUCCCGCCACCUACGCCUUCUGCAUUCCGAACCAGAGCUCCUUCAACGGCGCUCUCCCUUAGACCACCACAACCAGCUCGUGAAUUCUUCCAGUUUUAAUGUUUUAUGUUAUUUUUGUUUUUUUUUUAUGUUUUUGCUGGCCGAGUGUGGCCAAAAUUUGAAUAAGGCAUGUAAUCUGAACAAUUAAUUUUUUUUUUAAGUUUUUAUGUUUUUAUUUAUUAUGGUGUGUAAUAUUAACGAUCAGAAAUGAUCGACCCCCGAACAACUUAAAUUUCAUAUAUC
RNA transcript from Vigna angularis (adzuki bean), 2016 nucleotides. It is a transcript of the gene named protein WUSCHEL-like, with no coding region annotated. The transcript is spliced from 4 exons. The record is from RefSeq and is a predicted model, not a curated record. Lineage: Eukaryota; Viridiplantae; Streptophyta; Magnoliopsida; Fabales; Fabaceae.